This 484-nucleotide ribosomal RNA is filed under the name uncultured bacterium. Its description in RNAcentral is "partial 16S ribosomal RNA". It matches the Rfam family "Bacterial small subunit ribosomal RNA", at positions 30 to 507 of the family's 1533-position model. The record is from RNAcentral.
AUUGAACGCUGGCGGCAGGCCUAACACAUGCAAGUCGAGCGGAUGAAGGGAGCUUGCUCCUGGAUUCAGCGGCGGACGGGUGAGUAAUGCCUAGGAAUCUGCCUGGUAGUGGGGGAUAACGUCCGGAAACGGGCGCUAAUACCGCAUACGUCCUGAGGGAGAAAGUGGGGGAUCUUCGGACCUCACGCUAUCAGAUGAGCCUAGGUCGGAUUAGCUAGUUGGUGGGGUAAAGGCCUACCAAGGCGACGAUCCGUAACUGGUCUGAGAGGAUGAUCAGUCACACUGGAACUGAGACACGGUCCAGACUCCUACGGGAGGCAGCAGUGGGGAAUAUUGGACAAUGGGCGAAAGCCUGAUCCAGCCAUGCCGUGUGUGUGAAGAAGGUCUUCGGAUUGUAAAGCACUUUAAGUUGGGAGGAAGGGCAGUAAGUGAAUACCUUGCUGUUUUGACGGUACCAAAAGAAUAAGCACCGGCUAACUUCGUG